AUGUCAUCCCGAACUUGCUGCUCCGGCCUCCCGGCGACGCCUCGCCGGCAGGCGGGCCACCACACCCUCCCACUCCCGGCGGCUUGUGGCCUCUCCUUCGCCCCCGAAUUCGGCUCUUCUAGCCGCCGCGGCCGUCCUCCUCCGUUCUGCUGCACCAGCACUGCGCGGACUCGGGUGGUCGCUUCUUGUUCCGUUCCCAGGAGGAAUGUACUAUCCACACUGCUAUCCGCUUCAACGGUGCUACUUCUCGGACCAAGAGAGAUCACCUUAGCUGAGACCACCGGCGGUGCAUUCAGGGAGUACAUCGACACAUUUGACGGCUACUCCUUCAUAUACCCAAAGGGCUGGAUCCAGGUCAAAGGAGCUGGCGCGGACAUAUUCUUCAGAGAUCCGGUCCUCCUGGACGUGAACAUGUCCGUCGACAUAUCAUCCCCUUCUUCGUCAACGUACAAGACGGUCGAGGACCUAGGCCCCCCUGAGAAGGCUGCUGAGGGAGUUCUGAAGCAGUAUUUGACGGAGUUCAUGUCGACCAGACUAGGUGUUCGACGCGAGUCGAAUGUCUUGUCAGCGUCGUCCAAGGUCGCCGACGAUGGCAAGCUCUACUACGAGGUUGAGGUGAACAUCAAGUCGUACGCAAGCAACAAUGAGCUAGCGGUGAUGCCGAAAGACAGGGUGCAGAGCCUGGAGUGGGACCGGCGGUACCUGACAGUCCUCGGCGUCGAGAACAACCAGCUGUAUGCGCUACGGCUGCAGACGCCGGAACGGUUGCUCUCGGAGGAAGAUGGAGACCUGAGGAGAGUCAUGGACUCCUUCAGGGUCAACAAGAUACAAGCGUAG
This 837-nucleotide ribosomal RNA is filed under the name Triticum aestivum (bread wheat). RNAcentral describes it as "partial small subunit ribosomal RNA". The record is from RNAcentral. Lineage: Eukaryota; Viridiplantae; Streptophyta; Magnoliopsida; Poales; Poaceae.